GUGUGGCUCAGUGGUACAGCGUGUGCUCAGCAUGCACAAGGCCCUGGGUUCCAUCCCCUGCAC
Non-coding RNA from Heterocephalus glaber (naked mole-rat), 63 nucleotides. Lineage: Eukaryota; Metazoa; Chordata; Mammalia; Rodentia; Bathyergidae. The record is from Rfam.